Molecule: ribosomal RNA, 267 nt
Filed under: uncultured bacterium
Lineage: Bacteria
Description: partial 16S ribosomal RNA
Rfam family: Bacterial small subunit ribosomal RNA
Source: RNAcentral
GUCCACGCCAUAAACGAUGGAUACUUGUUGUUAGAGGUAUUGACCCCUCUAGUGACGUAGCUAACGCGUUAAGUAUCCCGCCUGGGGAGUACGGGUCGCAAGAUUAAAACUCAAAAGAAAUUGACGGGGGCCCGCACAAGGCGGUGGAGCAUGUGGUUUAAUUCGAUGCAACGCGAAGAACCUUACCCGGGCUUGACAUGAACUGGAAGAGUGGCAGAGAUGUCCUCGCUCGCAAGAGUCGGUUCACAGGUGCUGCAUGGCUGUCGU